Molecule: ribosomal RNA, 253 nt
Filed under: uncultured bacterium
Lineage: Bacteria
Description: partial 16S ribosomal RNA
Rfam family: Bacterial small subunit ribosomal RNA
Source: RNAcentral
UACGUAGGGUGCGAGCGUUAAUCGGAAUUACUGGGCGUAAAGUGUGCGCAGGCGGCGUCGCAAGUCGAGUGUGAAAGCCCCGGGCUUAACUUGGGAAUUGCGCUCGAAACUACGAUGCUGGAGUGUGGCAGAGGAAGGUGGAAUUCCACGUGUAGCGGUGAAAUGCGUAGAGAUGUGGAGGAACACCGAUGGCGAAGGCAGCCUUCUGGGCCAACACUGACGCUCAUGCACGAAAGCGUGGGGAGCAAACAGG